Molecule: long non-coding RNA, 593 nt
Organism: Saccoglossus kowalevskii
Lineage: Eukaryota; Metazoa; Hemichordata; Enteropneusta; Harrimaniidae
Source: RefSeq, a predicted model, not a curated record
CGUCAUAUAAAGCAAAAUGGCGGACUCCAGUGGCAGUGCAAGCAAAGUGCCCAACGUUAUGAAACGAGUCGAUUUCAAAGCUGACAAGAUAAGUGAGGCUGAUUUAGAAUUUGUACAACGAAUGACAGCAAGGCGAAGUGAACUACUAAGGCAAAGAGGUAGAGCAAGAUACGUGAAGAGAAACGUUGCUGUCGGAUGCGCGAUAGCGGUCGGCGUUGUUGGAGUUUAUGCAUACUCUAUGCUUGCAGUGAAACAAGAGACCUUUUUAGAUGACUUUGACUCGCCUGCUGCUCCCAAAACGUAGCAUCCAGUUACACACCCACAUAUUAAAACCAAAGACCUAUGUGAGUGAAGUCGCCAUUGUUACCAUGAAGCAAGUGGUAUGGAAAGGAGAAGAAUAUUAGACUUCCAACACAAGACUUGAAUAAACACUUUUGUUUUUAUAUCAUCUAGCUUGUUCUGUACUGGAGUGACUUCUACUUGCAGACCUGAGUGUGAAAACUACUAUUGAUACUGUAUACAAAAUAUGAUGAAAAAUUAAUUAACCUGAUACUAAAUUGUCUUUAAUUAUUGAAAGAAAACAUAGUAAUAAU